RNAcentral lists this ribosomal RNA (1243 nucleotides) under metagenome. RNAcentral's name for it is "bacterial LSU rRNA". It matches the Rfam family "Bacterial large subunit ribosomal RNA", at positions 1564 to 2818 of the family's 2925-position model. The record is from RNAcentral.
UGAAUACGAGAUGCUACGGCGUCGAAGCAGUCUAUGUCAUACUUCCAAGAAAAGCUCGCACUGUCAUAAACAAAUAAUGCCUGUACCAUAACCGACACAGGUGGGUAGGUAGAGUAUACUAAGGGGCGCGAGAUAACUCUCUCUAAGGAACUCGGCAAAAUGACUCCGUAACUUCGGGAGAAGGAGUGCCUUAUUUAUAAGGUUGCAAUAACAAGAUCCAAGCAACUGUUUAUCAAAAACACAGGUCUCCGCUAAGUCGUAAGACGAUGUAUGGGGGCUGACGCCUGCCCAGUGCCAGAAGGUUAAAGAAGUUGGUUAGCAUUCGCGAAGCUGAUAACUGAAGCCCUGGUGAACGGCGGCCGUAACGAUAACGGUCCUAAGGUAGCGAAAUUCCUUGUCGGGUAAGUUCCGACCCGCACGAAAGGCGUAAUGAUUUGGAUACUGUCUCGGAGAGGGGCUCGGUGAAAUAGACUUGUCUGUGAAGAUGCGGACUACCUGCACCAGGACAGAAAGACCCUAUGAAGCUUUACUGUAACUUGAGAUUGAAAUUGGACUUUACUUGCGCAGUAUAGGUGGGAGGCGUUGAUAAUAUUCUUGCGGGAUUAUUUGAGCCAUCAGUGAGAUACCACUCUUGUAAUGUUAGAUUUCUAACUUUGUAUCAUUAUCUGGUCAAAGGACAGUUUCAGGCGGGCAGUUUGACUGGGGCGGUCGCCUCCUAAACGGUAACGGAGGCGCACAAAGGUUUCCUCUGAACGGGUAGAAAUCGUAUCUAGAGUGUACGCAUAAGGAAGCUUGACUGUGAGACCUACAAGUCGAGCAGGGACGAAAGUCGGUCUUAGUGAUCUGACGGUGCUGAGUGGAAAGGCCGUCACUCAACGGAUAAAAGUUACUCUAAGGAUAACAGGCUGAUCUCCCCCAAGAGUUCACAUCGACGGGGAGGUUUGGCACCUCGAUGUCGGCUCAUCGCAUCCUGGGGCGGUAGUACGUCCCAAGGGUUGGGCUGUUCGCCCAUGAAAGCGGUACGCGAGCUGGGUUCAGAACGUCGUGAGACAGUUCGGUCCAUAUCCGGUGUAGGCGUUAGAAUAUUGAGAGGAGCCUUCUUUAGUACGAGAGGACCGAGAAGGACAUACCUCUGGUGUACCAGUUAUCGUGCCAACGGUAAACGCUGGGUAGCUAUGUAUGGAGUGGAUAACCGCUGAAAGCAUCUAAGUGGGAAGCCCACCUCAAGAUAAGUAUUCUCAGC